GAAUUCAGACACACACAACCGCUCCAGCCGAAGCUCCUAGCCGCCAGCAACGCCAUGCGUUCUUCGGCAACCCUCCUGCACCGCAGCAUGGCCGUCACAGCCGGCCCCGGCGAACCAUCUUCGUCGCCUUCCUCGCUGCCGCCGCCUCAUCCGGAGCAGCAGCAGACGGGGCCAGUGACGCCGGUCGACUCGGACAUGGCUAUCAUCUUGGCGUCUCUGCUCUGCGCUCUCGUCUGCGUCCUCGGCCUCGCCCUUGUCUCCCGAUGCGCAUGCCGACGCCGACGCUCCAGCUCCACUUCCUCCUCCAAGGGCCUCAAGAAGAAGGCCAUCGACGCGCUCCGCAGGGUCUCCUUCGCCGCGGCCGGCGCACAGUCAUCAUCAUCAUCAGUGGCGGCAUGCUCGUCGCCGUUGGAGUGCGCGAUAUGCCUCGCGGAGUUCACCGACGGAGAGAGUGUGCGCGUGCUCCCGCACUGCGGCCACAACUUCCACGUGGCCUGCGUCGACGCCUGGCUCCGCACGUGCGCCACAUGCCCCUCCUGCCGCACCCCCAUCGUCGCCACACCAGCUCAGCAGCUGGUGGCGCCAACGAUGGUUGUGGUGGUGGUUGCGGAAAACAACAGGUGCGGGAGGUGCUGCGAGGUGGCAGCGCCGGCUGGUGGUGGGGAUAGCACGUUCUUGCUGUAG
Molecule: ribosomal RNA, 684 nt
Filed under: Triticum aestivum (bread wheat)
Lineage: Eukaryota; Viridiplantae; Streptophyta; Magnoliopsida; Poales; Poaceae
Description: partial small subunit ribosomal RNA
Source: RNAcentral